This 274-nucleotide ribosomal RNA is filed under the name uncultured bacterium. Its description in RNAcentral is "partial 16S ribosomal RNA". It matches the Rfam family "Bacterial small subunit ribosomal RNA", at positions 523 to 796 of the family's 1533-position model. The record is from RNAcentral.
AUACGGAGGGGGCUAGCGUUACUCGGAAUCACUGGGCGUAAAGCGCGCGCAGGCGGUCUUUUAAGUUGGAUGUGAAAGCCUACGGCUCAACCGUAGAACUGCAUCCAAAACUAUUAGACUAGAGUGUGGGAGAGGAAGAUGGAAUUAGUUGUGUAGGGGUAAAAUCCGUAGAGAUAACUAGGAAUACCAAAAGCGAAGGCAAUCUUCUGGAACACUACUGACGCUGAGGCGCGAAAGCGUGGGGAGCAAACGGGAUUAGAAACCCCAGUAGUCC